Molecule: unclassified non-coding RNA, 353 nt
Filed under: soil metagenome
Description: partial contains 5.8S ribosomal RNA, internal transcribed spacer 2, and large subunit ribosomal RNA
Rfam family: 5.8S ribosomal RNA (bases 1-120)
Source: RNAcentral
GAUGAAGAACGCAGCGAAAUGCGAUAAGUAAUGUGAAUUGCAGAAUUCAGUGAAUCAUCGAAUCUUUGAACGCACAUUGCGCCCGCCAGUAUUCUGGCGGGCAUGCCUGUUCGAGCGUCAUUACAACCCUCAGGCCCCCGGGCCUGGCGUUGGGGAUCGGCGGAAGCCCCCUGCGGGCACAACGCCGUCCCCCAAAUACAGUGGCGGUCCCGCCGCAGCUUCCAUUGCGUAGUAGCUAACACCUCGCAACUGGAGAGCGGCGCGGCCACGCCGUAAAACACCCAACUUCUGAAUGUUGACCUAGAAUCAGGUAGGAAUACCCGCUGAACUUAAGCAUAUCAAUAAGCGGAGGA